CCUCUUGUCUGGCCGACACACACAGCAAUAGUAGCAACGGGCUGAUGCUCUAGCAAGACAUCAACUGCUCCGUCCCCUGCCGCGUGUGCGCGACCGUGUGUGUGUGUGUGUGUGUCGGUACAUCCAAAAGUGCCACCCUUGCCGAAGUGGUAACCAAGUGGUCGUUUAUAAUUCACGAACUUCAUUUCAUUUCGUUUUUUUUUUUUGUUUGGUUACUUCAACUUUUAUGCUGCUGUUGCUCUCUCUCUCUCUCUCACUCUCUCUCCACAAUCUGACCUCUUUCCCACGGCCCGAAGCGCGCUAGGCGGAUCACAUCGGUCACAAGAAGUUGAUUGAAGUGUGGUAGGCCGGGAUGAGGGCGGGGAAGGUAGGGCUGGGCUGGAACUUUUCGUUUGAUUGUGUGUGCUGCGUCGCUUGAUUGUUGGUUGGUUGAAAGGUUGAAACAAUAAAACAAACACAAAAAAACGCACUUUUACAGCAA
This is a long non-coding RNA of Anopheles gambiae (African malaria mosquito), 481 nucleotides long. RefSeq lists it as uncharacterized. The record is from RefSeq and is a predicted model, not a curated record. NCBI's taxonomy places the organism in Eukaryota, Metazoa, Arthropoda, Insecta, Diptera, Culicidae. The transcript is spliced from 2 exons.